GCCUUGAUAAAGUGUGUGUCCUCCUAGCACAACAUAAUGGCUUCACAGAACCCCUACACACUGUGGUUAAUUAGGAGUGCAUUAGGAUUUCAGUGUUUAAGGGAUGAGAAGAAAAAAGAUAAAAUACCUUUUUUAAUGGUUGUAGAAUGGUUCUAAGAAAAGCCUUCCACAAAGUGAAGUUAUCUGGAGCACAGAGCCCUUCUGCACCAUUAGGAAUUGUGUGUUUACACUGAUUCCCUGCAGCACCACUUGAACUCUUCAACUCCUCCUCUUCCAAGGAUGAAAUCCUGUGGCAUGGAAACUCCAGUGCGAUGCGCCAUCAGCAGCAGAUGGAUUGAGGGAACAUUCUGCUUCAUCUUUAUUGCUAGUUCCUGGAUAUUUGGGACCAACAGCAGUGCCCCAAAAAGGUAAAACAGGAAUUAUUCCCUCCUUUUGAG
RNAcentral lists this long non-coding RNA (437 nucleotides) under Cyanistes caeruleus (blue tit). Its description in RNAcentral is "lncRNA (ENSCCEG00000007805.1)". Lineage: Eukaryota; Metazoa; Chordata; Aves; Passeriformes; Paridae. The record is from RNAcentral.